This 424-nucleotide ribosomal RNA is filed under the name uncultured bacterium. RNAcentral's name for it is "bacterial SSU rRNA". It matches the Rfam family "Bacterial small subunit ribosomal RNA", at positions 355 to 796 of the family's 1533-position model. The record is from RNAcentral.
UGGGGAAUCUUGCACAAUGGGGGAAACCCUGAUGCAGCGACGCCGCGUGAGCGAUGAAGCCCUUCGGGGUGUAAAGCUCUUUCGGCAGGGAAGAUAAUGACGGUACCUGCAGAAGCAGCUGCGGCUAACUACGUGCCAGCAGCCGCGGUAAUACGUAGGCAGCAAGCGUUGUUCGGAGUUACUGGGCGUAAAGGGUGCGUAGGCGGCUUUUUAAGUUUGGUGUGAAAUCUCCCGGCUCAACUGGGAGGGUGCGCCGAAUACUGAGAGGCUAGAGUGUGGGAGAGGAAAGUGGAAUUCCUGGUGUAGCGGUGAAAUGCGUAGAUAUCAGGAGGAACACCGGUGGUGUAAACGGCUUUCUGGACCAUAACUGACGCUGAGGCACGAAAGCGUGGGUAGCAAACAGGAUUAGAUACCCCCGUAGUCC